This 158-nucleotide non-coding RNA is filed under the name Ipomoea nil (Japanese morning glory). Lineage: Eukaryota; Viridiplantae; Streptophyta; Magnoliopsida; Solanales; Convolvulaceae. The record is from Rfam by way of RNAcentral.
CUGGCUUGUGGCCGCCCAGCGUUCCUCGCGCCGUUGCUUUUUGCAUCCUUCGCUGUCGGCUCUUCCUCUCCUUGUGCCGCCAGCCUUCCCCCGUGUUGGCUUGUUCCCCCCCCCCUAGGGCACCGUGAGCUGGGUUUAGACCCGUCGUGCGCCCGGUU